UAGGGAAUCUUCCGCAAUGGGCGAAAGCCUGACGGAGCAACGCCGCGUGAGUGAUGAAGGUCUUCGGAUCGCAAAACUCUGUUAUUAGGGAAGAACAAAUGUGUAAGUAACUAUGCACGUCUUGACGGUACCUAAUCAGAAAGCCACGGCUAACUACGUGCCAGCAGCCGCGGUAAUACGUAGGUGGCAAGCGUUAUCCGGAAUUAUUGGGCGUAAAGCGCGCGUAGGCGGUUUUUUAAGUCUGAUGUGAAAGCCCACGGCUCAACCGUGGAGGGUCAUUGGAAACUGGAAAACUUGGGUGCAGAAGAGGAAAGUGGAAUUCCAUGUGUAGCGGUGAAAUGCGCAGAAAUAUGGAGGAACACCAGUGGCGAAGGCGACUUUCUGGUCUGUAACUGACGCUGAUGUGCGAAAGCGUGGGAAUCAAACAGG
Molecule: ribosomal RNA, 429 nt
Filed under: Bacteroidota bacterium
Lineage: Bacteria; Pseudomonadati; Bacteroidota
Description: Bacteroidetes bacterium partial 16S ribosomal RNA
Rfam family: Bacterial small subunit ribosomal RNA
Source: RNAcentral